This 203-nucleotide unclassified non-coding RNA is filed under the name Hevea brasiliensis (rubber tree). Lineage: Eukaryota; Viridiplantae; Streptophyta; Magnoliopsida; Malpighiales; Euphorbiaceae. The record is from RNAcentral.
GGAGGAAAAUGACUGUUACAAGGAGUUGAGGAUGCAGAGCUCCUACUUGAACUUAUUGUUCAAGCAGUUUGAUGACUCCUGUCAAUUGUCACAGUUUAAAAGAUAGAAAUCUUGCUUUAAAAUCUUUGACACGAAGUGUCUAUUAUUGACAAUUGUCAUCUGGUGCAUUUCAUAUCUCUGCAAGUUUCUUCUUUGUUAGUAUC